UGAGCAACCUGCCCUUGACUCCGGAAUAACAGCUGGAAACAGCUGCUAAUACCGGAUACGACCUCCGAUGGCAUCAUCUGGAGGUGGAAAGCUCCGGCGGUCAAGGAUGGGCUCGCGGCCUAUCAGCUUGUUGGUGAGGUAACGGCUCACCAAGGCUUCGACGGGCAGCCGGCCUGGAGGAGGGCCGACCGGCCACACUGGGACUGAGACACGGCCCAGACCUCUACGGGA
Molecule: ribosomal RNA, 231 nt
Filed under: uncultured bacterium
Lineage: Bacteria
Description: partial 16S ribosomal RNA
Rfam family: Bacterial small subunit ribosomal RNA
Source: RNAcentral